Molecule: long non-coding RNA, 181 nt
Organism: Octopus sinensis (East Asian common octopus)
Lineage: Eukaryota; Metazoa; Mollusca; Cephalopoda; Octopoda; Octopodidae
Exons: 3
Source: RefSeq, a predicted model, not a curated record
AACCAUAUGGUUCCGGGUUCAGUCCCACUGCAUGGCACCUUGGGAAAGCGUCUUCAACUAUAACAUCGAGCCGACCAAAGCCUUGUAAGUGGAUUUGGUAGACGGAAACUGAAGGAAGCCCGUCGUAUGUAUGUAUAUAUAUAUAUGUGUGUGUGUGUAUGUGUGUGUGUGUGUGUCUGUG